This 722-nucleotide ribosomal RNA is filed under the name uncultured Fusobacterium sp. Its description in RNAcentral is "bacterial SSU rRNA". It matches the Rfam family "Bacterial small subunit ribosomal RNA", at positions 28 to 776 of the family's 1533-position model. Lineage: Bacteria; Fusobacteriati; Fusobacteriota; Fusobacteriia; Fusobacteriales; Fusobacteriaceae. The record is from RNAcentral.
GAUGAACGCUGACAGAAUGCUUAACACAUGCAAGUCUACUUGAACUUCGGUUUGGGUGGCGGACGGGUGAGUAACGCGUAAAGAACUUGCCUCACAGUUAGGGACAACAUUUGGAAACGAAUACUAAUACCUGAUAUUAUGAUUUUAGGGCAUCCUAAGAUUAUGAAAGCUAUAUGCGCUGUGAGAGAGCUUUGCGUCCCAUUAGCUAGUUGGAGAGGUAACGGCUCACCAAGGCGAUGAUGGGUAGCCGGCCUGAGAGGGUGAACGGCCACAAGGGGACUGAGACACGGCCCUUACUCCUACGGGAGGCAGCAGUGGGGAAUAUUGGACAAUGGACCAAAAGUCUGAUCCAGCAAUUCUGUGUGCACGAUGACGUUUUUCGGAAUGUAAAGUGCUUUCAGUUGGGAAGAAAAAAAUGACGGUACCAACAGAAGAAGUGACGGCUAAAUACGUGCCAGCAGCCGCGGUAAUACGUAUGUCACAAGCGUUAUCCGGAUUUAUUGGGCGUAAAGCGCGUCUAGGUGGUUAUGUAAGUCUGAUGUGAAAAUGCAGGGCUCAACUCUGUAUUGCGUUGGAAACUGCAUGACUAAAGUACUGGAGAGGUAAGCGGAACUACAAGUGUAGAGGUGAAAUUCGUAGAUAUUUGUAGGAAUGCCGAUGGGGAAGCCAGCUUACUGGACAGAUACUGACGCUAAAGCGCGAAAGCGUGGGUAGCAAACAGG